Molecule: ribosomal RNA, 234 nt
Filed under: uncultured bacterium
Lineage: Bacteria
Description: partial 16S ribosomal RNA
Rfam family: Bacterial small subunit ribosomal RNA
Source: RNAcentral
UGAGUAACCUGCCCUUAACUCUGGGAUAAGCCUGGGAAACUGGGUCUAAUACCGGAUAUGACUCCUCAUCGCAUGGUGGGGGGUGGAAAGUCUUUUUGUGGUUUUGGAUGGACUCGCGGCCUAUCAGCUUGUUGGUGAGGUAAUGGCUCACCAAGGCGACGACGGGUAGCCGGCCUGAGAGGGCGACCGGCCACACUGGGACUGAGACACGGCCCAGACUCCGUACGGGAGCAG